AGCUUUGCGCACUGGCAAUAUCGUAGCCAAUGAGGUUUAUCUGAGGCGCGAUUAUUGCUAAUAGAAUAUAUUCAUCAGCAUAGAAGGAAACCCCAUGCCCUUUAGCCAUCACUUUUUUUUUUUUUUUUAAGCCAUCACUUUUAAGUC
Molecule: small nuclear RNA, 147 nt
Organism: Lontra canadensis (Northern American river otter)
Lineage: Eukaryota; Metazoa; Chordata; Mammalia; Carnivora; Mustelidae
Product: U4 spliceosomal RNA
Exons: 1
Source: RefSeq, a predicted model, not a curated record